UGCCUGCCUAUCUUCUGCCUCUGGCUCU
Molecule: non-coding RNA, 28 nt
Filed under: Homo sapiens (human)
Lineage: Eukaryota; Metazoa; Chordata; Mammalia; Primates; Hominidae
Source: RNAcentral